Molecule: ribosomal RNA, 265 nt
Filed under: uncultured bacterium
Lineage: Bacteria
Description: partial 16S ribosomal RNA
Rfam family: Bacterial small subunit ribosomal RNA
Source: RNAcentral
UACAGAGGGUGCAAGCGUUAAUCGGAAUUACUGGGCGUAAAGGGCGCGUAGGUUGUGAAGUAAGUUGGAUGUGAAAUAUUCGGGCUUAACCUGAAAAGGCCAUCCAAUACUGCUUGACUAGAGUACGGUAGAGGGAAGGGGAAUUUCCGGUGUAGCGGUGAAAUGCGUAGAUCUCGAGAGGAACACCGAUGGCGAAAGCAGCUCCUUGGUUCAUUCCUGACGUUGAAACACGAAAGCGUGGGGAGCAAACAGGAUUAGAUACCCC